UACGGGGGGGGCAAGCGUUGUUCGGAAUUACUGGGCGUAAAGGGCUCGUAGGUGGCCCACUAAGUCAUACGUGAAAUCCCUCGGCUUAACCGGGGAACUGCGUCUGAUACUGGAUGGCUUGAAUCCGGGAGAGGGAUGCGGAAUUCCAGGUGUAGCGGUGAAAUGCGUAGAUAUCUGGAGGAACACCGGUGGCGAAGGCGGCAUCCUGGACCGGCAUUGACGCUGAGGAGCGAAAGCCAGGGGAGCAAACGGG
This 253-nucleotide ribosomal RNA is filed under the name uncultured bacterium. RNAcentral describes it as "partial 16S ribosomal RNA". It matches the Rfam family "Bacterial small subunit ribosomal RNA", at positions 524 to 776 of the family's 1533-position model. The record is from RNAcentral.